UGAGGAAUUUUCCACAAUGGGCGAAAGCCUGAUGGAGCGACGCUGCGUGCGGGAUGACAGCCUUCGGGUUGUAAACCGCUUUUCCCAGGGACGAUAAUGACGGUACCUGGGGAAUAAGCAACGGCCAACUACGUGCCAGCAGCCGCGGUAAUACGUAGGUUGCGAGCGUUAUCCGGAUUUACUGGGCGUAAAGCGUCUGUAGGUGGCGAUAUGCGUUGGAUGCCAAAUCUUUUCGCUUAACGAAAAGUCCGCGUCCAAUACGGUAUUGCUAGAGGAAAUCAGAGGUUGACGGAAUUCCCGGUGUAGCAGUGAAAUGCGUUGAUAUCGGGAAGAACGCCGAUGGCGAAGGCUGUCAACUGGGGUUUUUCUGACACUGAGAGACGAAAGCGUGGGGAGAGAACAGG
Molecule: ribosomal RNA, 404 nt
Filed under: uncultured bacterium
Lineage: Bacteria
Description: bacterial SSU rRNA
Rfam family: Bacterial small subunit ribosomal RNA
Source: RNAcentral